This 527-nucleotide ribosomal RNA is filed under the name uncultured bacterium. RNAcentral's name for it is "bacterial SSU rRNA". It matches the Rfam family "Bacterial small subunit ribosomal RNA", at positions 20 to 524 of the family's 1533-position model. The record is from RNAcentral.
UGGCUCAGGACGAACGCUGGCGGCGUGCCUAAUACAUGCAAGUCGAACGAACCGCGACUAGGUGCUUGCACUUGGUCAAGGUGAGUGGCGAACGGGUGAGUAACACGUGGGUAACCUACCUCAUAGUGGGGGAUAACAGUCGGAAACGACUGCUAAUACCGCAUAGGACAUGGAAUCACAUGAUUCAGUGAGGAAAGGUGGCGCAAGCUAUCGCUAAGAGAUGGACCCGCGGUGCAUUAGCUAGUUGGUAGGGUAAAGGCCUACCAAGGCGAUGAUGCAUAGCCGACCUGAGAGGGUGAUCGGCCACAUUGGGACUGAGACACGGCCCAAACUCCUACGGGAGGCAGCAGUAGGGAAUCUUCCGCAAUGGACGCAAGUCUGACGGAGCAACGCCGCGUGAGUGAAGAAGGUCUUCGGAUCGUAAAGCUCUGUUGUUAGAGAAGAACAGCGCAUAGAGUAACUGCUAUGCGUGUGACGGUAUCUAACCAGAAAGCCACGGCUAACUACGUGCCAGCAGCCGCGGUAAU